UGAGAUGCUCUCAUAGGAUGUGCUAAUGGCU
RNAcentral lists this non-coding RNA (31 nucleotides) under Rattus norvegicus (Norway rat). The record is from RNAcentral. Lineage: Eukaryota; Metazoa; Chordata; Mammalia; Rodentia; Muridae.